Molecule: long non-coding RNA, 915 nt
Organism: Monodelphis domestica (gray short-tailed opossum)
Lineage: Eukaryota; Metazoa; Chordata; Mammalia; Didelphimorphia; Didelphidae
Source: Ensembl
AUCUUGAAAGUCCUCAAGGCUUAAGCCACAAGUGCAAUAACUCUGCUAAUAAUAAGGAUUGUGAGUUUAUUCAGUGGAACCCGUGAUUAUGACUGUUGCCAAGGUGACGGAGGGAGUGCCCGCUGGGACUGGUCUUAUUAUGGGGACCCAUUUGGUAUUGGAAGUGACAGCCAAUAUGUGUGCCCUGCCCAAAGGCUGCCCGUCAUAAGGAGACACUUUCCAUGGAGUAAGACAUGCUGUCAUUCUGCGUGGCUAGUGUGCAUUUCCACUGGGCAGCAGGGAAUGGGACUCUCUCCAACUUGUUUCCAUUGCCUUCGUUCCUGGUGCCUACAGUUGCAGCUGUCAUUACUUCAUAACUCUGAAAUGGCAAUGAGAGUUGGAAAACAGGGCUGGAAUUGUAUUCAUGGAGUAGAAGAUAUAUUUCUACUUCAACCUAGCUUUGAAGCACACCUUGUGAGAAAGAAAAACAAGCAAUUUAGAGGCGAUAUAUCAUACUAUAUCAGUUUAUGCAACAUGCCCAUGGUGGCCCACAUCUCACCCAAGAGGAAGCAAGUAUAUUUCAUUAUUUGUUUUCUCUGACCAAGAUAAAUACAAUAUAAUCACUAUGUGUUUGAAUUCUGGAUGUUUUUUUGAGAUUUGUAUUAUUAUAGUUGUUACAUUGUUAUCCUCCUUGCUUGCUUCACUCUGUAAAUUUACUCAUCUCCUGUUUCUAGGAAUUCCUCAUACUUGCCACUUUGGGGGAAACCAGUUCAAUAUUCAUUAAGGGAAAGAUCCUGCCCUCAAGGAGGUUACAUUUUAAUCCCUUAAUGAGGUCUGUGAACUUUAUUGAUAUAUUUUGGGGUUUAUUUUUAGUUUAAAUUUCUACCUUAAAAAAAAAAAAGCACCUUCCAUCUUAGAAUCAAUACUGUGUAUUAG